GACGAACGCUGGCGGCGUGCCUAAUACAUGCAAGUUGAGCGAUGAAGAUUGGUGCUUGCACCAAUUUGAAGAGCAGCGCACGGGUGAGUAACGCGUGGGGAAUCUGCCUUUGAGCGGGGGACAACAUUUGGAAACGAAUGCUAAUACCGCAUAACAACUUUAAACAUAAGUUUUAAGUUUGAAAGAUGCAAUUGCAUCACUCAAAGAUGAUCCCGCGUUGUAUUAGCUAGUUGGUGAGGUAAAGGCUCACCAAGGCGGUGAUACAUAGCCGACCUGAGAGGGGGAUCGGCCGCAUUGGGACUGAGACACGCCCCAAACUCCUAGGGGAGGCAGCAGUAGGGAAUCUUCGGCAAUGGACGAAAGUCUGAGCGAGAAACGCCGAGGGAGGGAAGAAGGUUGUCGGAUCGUAAAACUCUGUUGGUAGAGAAGAACGUUGGUGAGAGUGGAAAGCUCAUCAAGUGACGGUAACUACCCAGAAAGGGACGGCUAACUACGUG
This 497-nucleotide ribosomal RNA is filed under the name uncultured bacterium. RNAcentral describes it as "partial 16S ribosomal RNA". It matches the Rfam family "Bacterial small subunit ribosomal RNA", at positions 28 to 507 of the family's 1533-position model. The record is from RNAcentral.